AACGAACGCUGGCGGCAGGCUUAACACAUGCAAGUCGAACGCAUCGCAAGAUGAGUGGCAGACGGGUGAGUAACGCGUGGGAACAUACCCUUUUCCACGGAAUAGCUCUGGGAAACUGGAAUUAAUACCGUAUACGCCCUACGGGGGAAAGAUUUAUCGGGGAAGGAUUGGCCCGCGUUGGAUUAGCUAGUUGGUGGGGUAAAGGCCUACCAAGGCGACGAUCCAUAGCUGGUCUGAGAGGAUGAUCAGCCACAUUGGGACUGAGACACGGCCCAAACUCCUACGGGAGGCAGCAGUGGGGAAUAUUGGACAAUGGGCGCAAGCCUGAUCCAGCCAUGCCGCGUGAGUGAUGAAGGCCUUAGGGUCGUAAAGCUCUUUCGCCGAUGAAGAUAAUGACGGUAGUCGGAGAAGAAGCCCCGGCUAACUUCGUGCCAGCCGCCGCGGUAA
This 447-nucleotide ribosomal RNA is filed under the name uncultured bacterium. RNAcentral's name for it is "partial 16S ribosomal RNA". It matches the Rfam family "Bacterial small subunit ribosomal RNA", at positions 29 to 523 of the family's 1533-position model. The record is from RNAcentral.